This 468-nucleotide ribosomal RNA is filed under the name uncultured bacterium. Its description in RNAcentral is "partial 16S ribosomal RNA". It matches the Rfam family "Bacterial small subunit ribosomal RNA", at positions 28 to 507 of the family's 1533-position model. The record is from RNAcentral.
GACGAACGCUGGCGGCGUGCUUAACACAUGCAAGUCGAACGGAAAGGCCCUGCUCUUGUGGGGUGCUCGAGUGGCGAACGGGUGAGUAACACGUGAGUAACCUGCCCCUGACUUUCGGAUAACUUCAGGAAACAGGGGCUAAUAUCCGAUAGGAUCUCCUGCUCCAUGGGGGGGGUUGGAGAGUGUCGGCGGUGGGGGAUGGACUCGCGGCUUAUCAGCUUGUUGGUGGGGUAGUGGCUUACCAAGGCUUUGACGGGUAGCCGGCCUGAGAGGGUGACCGGCCACAUUGGGACUGAGAUACGGCCCAGACUCCUACGGGAGGCAGCAGUGGGGAAUAUUGCACAAUGGGCGGAAGCCUGAUGCAGCAACGCCGCGUGCGGGAUGACGGCCUUCGGGUUGUAAACCGCUUUCGCCUGUGACGAAGCGUGAGUGACGGUAAUGGGUAAAGAAGCACCGGCUAACUACGUG